UUCAGUACCUGGUAUCCCCAAGGACGGCACUGGGCAAGAUACUUCAGACUCCGUUCAUGCGAGGAGAAGAGGGGUUUCUUCUCUGUGGUUAAUAACAUGGGAAGAUAUUCUUCCUUCCAGAUUCUCUGUCUCCUAUCUCAAGAAGAUGAAUGUUGUCAAUAUAACUCAUUCCUGUACUGGAGAACCCCGUUGCCUACUCUGGAUUUGUCCGACAUUCAGGAUCUAGAGACUGGAUCUCCGUCUCCAUCAGGGUCUUCGUCUAGAGAUGGAGAAACUGUACUGGCAACUAAAACUCCUUCGCGGACUGAUACCAUGGAGACUGAAAUGGAGACCUGAUCAUGUAGCUUAGGGCUGCACAUGAACUUGCAGGAAGGUCGUUCUUCUGCCUGGCAGGACAACCAGGCUGCUUCUGACUUCUUGAAGAAGCCGUGCUGUGUCCUUCUGCAGAGACAAGGUUACCCARGCUGAUGGAAGAGUCACUUGUAGAUACCUACCAGUAAGCUGGCUGGAGAGGUAAAUUAAUCUAUAGAGUGAGGAGGAUGCUGUGCUUAUCUAGGAAGAAUGCUUGAAAACAUGAAGGCAAACUCAAAGGAAACUACUCAAAAUCGUAACUAGAUGCUAUUGUUAGAAACAGCUUGAUAUAUAACAUACAGGGAAGAAAUGGAAGAUGAUUCCACUGGUCCUGAGCAAAAAGGUUGUAAUUGCAGUGCAGCAAAAUUCAGUCUUUAUCCUGUGAGGUUUUUUUUAAACAUAUUCCCCCGAAGUGCAGUGUUUCCUAGUGCAUCRUUUUCCCUUUAAUAGCUCAACCAAAAAAAUAAGAGCCCACCAAAAUGAAAAUGACCGUUACCUUUUCUGUUCAAGCCAAAUCAGCAGCAGCGUGGAGAGGGAAGGAAAAGGGAUUCUUUUCUUCUGCAGACUGUUUUAAAAGUUGCUUCGCAGUUGGCUCAUGAAGCAGCAAACAGCUAGUUUGUAGGCAUUUGGUCCGUUCUCAACGCUGUUCCUAUUCCUUUUGACAGUAGCUCUGAACCAAUUAGUGAUGAAAGGCAGGCAUGUGCAAAGCUGUCGAGAAAAGUUAGUGCAUCUUAAAGCUAUCGUGUGUGCUUUCUAGCUGACUGAGGUCUGGUUUUUGCAAAGACCGUGGAUCUUGAAUGCUUGCUUUCUUUUUUUCUACACAAGUUUAUUGAAUUAGUGGAUUUUUGUUAUGAAUUAUGAACUUAAUUUUUAUCUUUUAUUUAUUUUACGAAUAUUUGUUUUCAGUAAUAGAGUGAGAUUUUAAGUUUCUGUCAGACUUUCAGACCUCAAAAAUGUGAUUUUAUUUAAGCACAGUGAAUACAGCUGGGAUUUUUGUU
Long non-coding RNA from Nothoprocta perdicaria, 1349 nucleotides. RefSeq lists it as uncharacterized. The record is from RefSeq and is a predicted model, not a curated record. The transcript is spliced from 2 exons. NCBI's taxonomy places the organism in Eukaryota, Metazoa, Chordata, Aves, Tinamiformes, Tinamidae.